This is a long non-coding RNA of Bubalus bubalis (water buffalo), 422 nucleotides long. RefSeq lists it as uncharacterized. The record is from RefSeq and is a predicted model, not a curated record. Lineage: Eukaryota; Metazoa; Chordata; Mammalia; Artiodactyla; Bovidae. The transcript is spliced from 2 exons.
CCACCCCAGAGUCGCGGGAACACAUUACAAAUGGGGUCAAUUGAAUCAACUCCGCUGAAAAAAAAGGCAGGAGAGUUUUUAAGCUGUGGGGAAGGCAGAAACUCUGCAGGAUGUUAGGGAGAUUGGUCACUGUGAUUAGGACAUUUUGAGAAGGAAUUGGUGUUUUAAUUACUUUUACCCAAUUCUGAAGAGUCUGACCCAGAAGACUUCUUAAUAGAAGAGGAAGUGCAAAAUCAUGUCAGGUUGAAUCUCAACCUCUUUGUUCUUCCAGCAUCUUACUUGCCUUGGAAGUCAUCCAGCAUCUCUCCUUUCCCUUAGUCCAUUCUGUUGAAAAGAGAAGGAGACACGAUGAGAAAUUAUUGUCUAGUAAGGAUAUAAAUGCAGUGAAGACAUAAUUUAAAAAUAAAGAUAAAAUAUCACAA